Non-coding RNA from Peromyscus maniculatus bairdii (prairie deer mouse), 452 nucleotides. Lineage: Eukaryota; Metazoa; Chordata; Mammalia; Rodentia; Cricetidae. The record is from RefSeq and is a predicted model, not a curated record.
AGGCUCUCUGACAAACCUGAUCCUGAUGUCCCUGGGACUACAAUAGAAGACAAUGACAGUACCUCUGUUAUUAAGAAAAUAUGUAAAGAUGCAGAAAUGAUGAUAAAUGACAUAGACUAUAUCCACGAGGAAACUUCAUCACAGUUUUUAUAUCAGAGCAAGCAAGCCAGAAGAAGUGUAAAGAAGAGCAUUCGGAAACUUUUAGGAAGAUGUGAAGUUGUUUGUUCUCAGGGAGAGCCACUAGAUAAUACCUCUGAAGGACAAAUACCCAUAAAGAAAGUAACUCAAGACCAAGAAAAAGUAAGUGUGACAGUGAAUAUAAAAGUGUCCAUCUUCAGCCUCCCUCUGAGGACUCAAAUGAAGAAAAAUGGGUGCGGCUAGUUGCAACACAGUAUUCAUUUCUUAACCAGUACCUCAGGGAAAGAUUAAAGGAGAAGAUGAAAGAAGGUAUU